UUAGAGUUUGAUCCUGGCUCAGAACGUACGCUGGCGGCACGCCUAAUACAUGCAAGUCGAACGAAGUAGCAAUACUUAGUGGCAGACGGGUGAGUAACAUGUAGGUAUCUACCCUUUGGCCUGGAAUAACACGAGGAAACUUGUGCUAAUACCGGAUAAGUCUUUACGGAGAAAGCUUUAUGCACCAUUGGAUGAGCCUGCACUUGAUUAGUUUGUUGGUGGGGUAAUGGCCUACCAAGACAAUGAUCAAUAGCUGAUUUGAGAGGAUGAUCAGCCACAUUGGGACUGAGACACGGCCCAAACUCCUACGGGAGGCAGCAGUAGGGAAUCUUGCACAAUGGAGGAAACUCUGAUGCAGCGAUGCCGCGUGAGUGAAGAAGGCCUUUGGGUUGUAAAGCUCUUUCGUCGGGGAAGAAAAUGACUGUACCCGAAUAAGAAGGUCCGGCUAACUUCGUGCCAGCAGCCGCGGUAAUACGAAGGAACCUAGCGUAGUUCGGAAUUACUGGGCUUAAAGAGUUCGUAGGUGGUUAAAAAAGUUGGUGGUGAAAUCCCAGAGCUUAACUCUGGAACUGCCAUCAAAACUUUUUAGCUAGAGUAUGAUAGAGGAAAGCGGAAUUUCUAGUGUAGAGGUGAAAUUCGUAGAUAUUAGAAAGAAUACCGAUUGCGAAGGCAGCUUUCUGGAUCAUUACUGACACUGAGGAACGAAAGCAUGGGUAGCGAAGAGGAUUAGAUACCCUCGUAGUCCAUGCCGUAAACGAUGUGUGUUAGACGUUGGAAAUUUAUUUUCAGUGUCGCAGCGAAAGCGAUAAACACACCGCCUGGGGAGUACGACCGCAAGGUUAAAACUCAAAUGAAUUGACGGGGACCCGCACAAGUAGUGGAGCAUGUGGUUUAAUUCGAAGAUACGCGCAGAACCUUACCAACACUUGACAUGUUCGUCGCGACUCUAAGAGAUUAGAGUUUUCGGUUCGGCCGGACGAAACACAGGUGCUGCAUGGCUGUCGUCAGCUCGUGUCGUGAGAUGUUGGGUUAAGUCCCGCAACGAGCGCAACCCUUACUUUUAGUUGCCAUCAUUUAGUUGGGCACUCUGAAAGAACUGCCAGUGAUAAGCUGGAGGAAGGUGGGGAUGACGUCAAGUCCUCAUGGCCCUUAUGUGUUGGGCUACACACGUGCUACAAUGGUAUCUACAACAGGAAGCAAGAUGGCAACGUUAAGCAAAUCCCAAAAAGAUACCUCAGUUCGGAUUGCACUCUGCAACUCGAGUGCAUGAAGCUGGAAUUACUAGUAAUCGUGGAUCAGCGUGCCACGGUGAAUACGUUCCCGGGUCUUGUACACACCGCCCGUCACACCAUGGGAGUUGGUUCUACCUUAAGGCAAAGUUUAAAACCUUUGACCACGGUAUAGUCAGCGACUGGGGUGAAGUCGUAACAAGGUAACC
This 1438-nucleotide ribosomal RNA is filed under the name uncultured bacterium. Its description in RNAcentral is "16S ribosomal RNA". It matches the Rfam family "Bacterial small subunit ribosomal RNA". The record is from RNAcentral.